UGCCUAGGUGAGCUCGCUGUAGUCCAG
RNAcentral lists this non-coding RNA (27 nucleotides) under Rattus norvegicus (Norway rat). Lineage: Eukaryota; Metazoa; Chordata; Mammalia; Rodentia; Muridae. The record is from RNAcentral.